RNAcentral lists this ribosomal RNA (369 nucleotides) under uncultured bacterium. Its description in RNAcentral is "bacterial SSU rRNA". It matches the Rfam family "Bacterial small subunit ribosomal RNA", at positions 527 to 896 of the family's 1533-position model. The record is from RNAcentral.
GAAGGGGGCUAGCGUUGUUCGGAAUUACUGGGCGUAAAGCGCGUGCAGGCGGGCCGUUAAGUCGGGGGUGAAAGCCCAGAGCUCAACUCUUGAAUUGCCUUCGAUUCUGGCGGCCUGGAGCAUGAUAGAGGCAAGUGGAAUUGCGAGUGUAGAGGUGAAAUUCGCAGAUAUUCGCAGGAACACCGGUGGCGAAGGCGACUUGCUGGAUCAUUGCUGACGCUGAGACGCGAAAGCGUGGGGAGCAAACAGGAUUAGAUACCCCGGUAGUCCACGCUGUAAACGAUGAGAGCUAGUUGUCGGCAGGCAUGCCUGUCGGUGACGCAGCUAACGCAUUAAGCUCUCCGCCUGGGGAGUACGGUCGCAAGAUUA